RNAcentral lists this ribosomal RNA (253 nucleotides) under uncultured bacterium. Its description in RNAcentral is "partial 16S ribosomal RNA". It matches the Rfam family "Bacterial small subunit ribosomal RNA", at positions 524 to 776 of the family's 1533-position model. The record is from RNAcentral.
UACGUAGGAUCCGAGCGUUGUCCGGAUUUACUGGGUGUAAAGGGUGCGCAGGCGGACUGAUAAGUCAGUGGUGAAAUCUCGUCGCUUAACGACGAAACUGCCUUUGAUACUAUCAGUCUUGAAUCCGGUAGAGAUCUGUGGAAUUCCGAGUGUAGCAGUGAAAUGUGUAGAUAUUCGGAAGAACACCAGUGGCGAAGGCAGCAGAUUGGGCCGGUAUUGACGCUCAGGCACGAAAGCAUGGGGAUCAAACAGG